GCCGGGUGUGGUGGCUCACACCUGUAAUCCCAGCACUUUGGGAGGCUGAGACGGGUGGAUCACCUGAGGUCAGGAGUUCAAGACCAGCCUGGCCAGCAUGGUGAAACCCUGUCUCUA
Molecule: unclassified non-coding RNA, 117 nt
Organism: Pongo abelii (Sumatran orangutan)
Lineage: Eukaryota; Metazoa; Chordata; Mammalia; Primates; Hominidae
Rfam family: Metazoan signal recognition particle RNA
About the family: The signal recognition particle (SRP) is a universally conserved ribonucleoprotein. It is involved in the co-translational targeting of proteins to membranes.
Source: Ensembl